RNAcentral lists this ribosomal RNA (546 nucleotides) under Lactobacillus sp. RNAcentral describes it as "bacterial SSU rRNA". It matches the Rfam family "Bacterial small subunit ribosomal RNA", at positions 79 to 611 of the family's 1533-position model. Lineage: Bacteria; Bacillati; Bacillota; Bacilli; Lactobacillales; Lactobacillaceae. The record is from RNAcentral.
AUUCAACAUGGAACGAGUGGCGGACGGGUGAGUAACACGUGGGUAACCUGCCCUUAAGUGGGGGAUAACAUUUGGAAACAGAUGCUAAUACCGCAUAGAUCCAAGAACCGCAGGGUUCUUGGCUGAAAGAUGGCGUAAGCUAUCGCUUUUGGAUGGACCCGCGGCGUAUUAGCUAGUUGGUGAGGUAAUGGCUCACCAAGGCGAUGAUACGUAGCCAAACUGAGAGGUUGAUCGGCCACAUUGGGACUGAGACACGGCCCAAACUCCUACGGGAGGCAGCAGUAGGGAAUCUUCCACAAUGGACGCAAGUCUGAUGGAGCAACGCCGCGUGAGUGAAGAAGGCUUUCGGGUCGUAAAACUCUGUUGUUGGAGAAAAAUGGUCGGCAGAGUAACUGUUGUCGGCGUGACGGUAUCCAACCAGAAAGCCACGGCUAACUACGUGCCAGCAGCCGCGGUAAUACGUAGGUGGCAAGCGUUAUCCGGAUUUAUUGGGCGUAAAGCGAGCGCAGGCGGUUUUUUAAGUCUGAUGUGAAAGCCCUCGGCUUA